This 746-nucleotide long non-coding RNA is filed under the name Monodelphis domestica (gray short-tailed opossum). RNAcentral's name for it is "lncRNA (ENSMODG00000048034.1)". Lineage: Eukaryota; Metazoa; Chordata; Mammalia; Didelphimorphia; Didelphidae. The record is from RNAcentral.
CCCGGCUGCGCCCCGCUAACUCGACACCCACACACUACCUUUUUUCAGAUGCGGCCGCGACAGCCACUGGACCUAGGAGAGCGCUCGGACGCCAUGUUGGCUUCCGGCAAAGCUCUCCGCAAAGGUUCUACGCACGCGCAAUGACGCGCCGAACACCGACGUCUCACGAAACGCAUGCGCGCCUGAAACUCCACAAACUACCCGCUCCUUACUUCUCCGGCACCAUAGGGCGUAUUGUGUCAUCAUCAAGAGUUUGGGAUCUAAGACAGUGAUGAAAGAGACCUUAAAAGUCAUGAAAUCCAGACAUUUUCAAGUGAGGAAACAGGUCCAAAGAGGUCACGGCACUUAUUCAAUGUCCCACAAUCUCCAUAGCAGAGCAUCUGAAAGGAACAUCUUCCGCCUGUGUCAGCAUUUCCCAUUGUUCUGGAGAGGUAAUAGGGAAGCACUAGAGUUUAUCAAGCAGCAACCAUCACUUUGGCAGCUGUGUGGAUGAUGGAUUUGAGAAGGAAGACACUUCAGGAAAUACAAUAUUCCAGGUGAGAAGUGGGGAGAACUUAAACUAGAGUUGAGUGAAGAGAAGGGGUUUAAUGAAAAAGAUUUUGUAGAGAUAGAAUCAAUAAGAUGUGGCAAUUGAUUAAAUGAGAGAGAAAAGGGAGUUAGUUGAGAUUUUUAAUCUGGAUAAUUGGAAGUAUUGCAUUGCCCUUGACAGAAAUAAACAAGUUCAGAAGAAGGAGGGGAGAAAGGUA